Molecule: ribosomal RNA, 939 nt
Filed under: termite gut metagenome
Description: bacterial SSU rRNA
Rfam family: Bacterial small subunit ribosomal RNA
Source: RNAcentral
AGAGUUUGAUCCUGGCUCAGAACGAACGCUGGCGGCGCGUCUUAAGCAUGCAAGUCGAGCGGCAAGCGCUAGCAAUAGCGCCUAGAGCGGCGGACUGGUGAGUAACGCGUGGGUAACCUGCCUUGAGGUUGGGGAUAGUCGUUAGAAAUAGCGGGUAAUACCGAAUACGCUUACAUGACGAAAGUUGUGUAAGGAAAGGGGCUUUGGCCCCGCCUUAAGAUGGGCCCGCGUCCCAUUAGGUAGUUGGCGAGGUAACGGCUCACCAAGCCUGAGAUGGGUAGCCGGCCUGAGAGGGUGAACGGCCACUGGGACUGAGAUACGGCCCAGACUCCUACGGGAGGCAGCAGCUAAGAAUAUUCCGCAAUGGACGAAAGUCUGACGGAGCGACGCCGCGUGGAUGACGAAGGCCGAAAGGUUGUAAAAUUCUUUUGCGGAUGAAGAAUAAGCAUGGGAGGGAAUGCCUGUGUGAUGACGUUAGUCCGUGAAUAAGCCCCGGCUAAUUACGUGCCAGCAGCCGCGGUAACACGUAAGGGGCGAGCGUUGUUCGGAAUUAUUGGGCGUAAAGGGCGCGUAGGCGGCCAUGUAAGUCUGGCGUGAAAUGCGGGAGCUUAACUCCCGGACUGCGCUGGAAACUGUGUGGCUUGAGUCAUGGAUGGGGAGCUGGAAUUCCUGGUGUAGGGGUGAAAUCUGUAGAUAUCAGGAAGAACACCGGUGGCGAAGGCGAGCUUCUGGCCGAUGACUGACGCUGAGGCGCGAAAGUGCGGGGAGCAAACAGGAUUAGAUACCCUGGUAGUCCGCGCUAUAAACGAUGCACACUAGGUGUUGGACCGAGCGGUUCAGUGCCGGAGCGAACGCGAUAAGUGUGCCGCCUGGGGAGUAUGCCCGCAAGGGUGAAACUCAAAGGAAUUGACGGGGGCCCGCACAAGCGGUGGAGCAUGU